This 72-nucleotide transfer RNA is filed under the name Camelus bactrianus (Bactrian camel). It matches the Rfam family "tRNA". Rfam says of the family: Transfer RNA (tRNA) molecules are approximately 80 nucleotides in length. The record is from Rfam by way of RNAcentral. RNAcentral also lists the same sequence under 2 other names. Lineage: Eukaryota; Metazoa; Chordata; Mammalia; Artiodactyla; Camelidae.
UGGGGUGUAGCUCAGUGGUAGAAUACAUAUUUAGCAUACAUGAGGUUCUGGGUUCAAUUCCCAGUACCUCCA